This 72-nucleotide transfer RNA is filed under the name Loxodonta africana (African savanna elephant). It matches the Rfam family "tRNA". Rfam says of the family: Transfer RNA (tRNA) molecules are approximately 80 nucleotides in length. Their secondary structure includes four short double-helical elements and three loops (D, anti-codon, and T loops). Further hydrogen bonds mediate the characteristic L-shaped molecular structure. tRNAs have two regions of fundamental functional importance: the anti-codon, which is responsible for specific mRNA codon recognition, and the 3' end, to which the tRNAs corresponding amino acid is attached (by aminoacyl-tRNA synthetases). tRNAs cope with the degeneracy of the genetic code in two manners: having more than one tRNA (with a specific anti-codon) for a particular amino acid; and 'wobble' base-pairing, i.e. permitting non-standard base-pairing at the 3rd anti-codon position. The record is from Rfam by way of RNAcentral. Lineage: Eukaryota; Metazoa; Chordata; Mammalia; Proboscidea; Elephantidae.
GCCAUGGUGGUACAACGGUUUCAUGCUCAACUGUCAUCUGAAAGGUUGGUGGUUCAAAUCCACCCAGUGGCU